UCAGAGGAAGGUGGGGGCAACGACAGGUCAGUAUGCUCCGAAUGCUCUGGGCUACACGCGCGCUACAAAGGCCAGGACAAUGGNUUGCCACGCCGAGAGGCGGCGCUAUCCCGAAACCCUGGUCGUAGUUCGGAUCGUGGGCUGUAAUUCGCCCACGUGAAGCUGGAUUUCGUAGUAAUCGCGUCUCAAAAUGGCGCGGUGAAUAUGCCCCUGCUCCUUGCACACACCGCCCGUCAAACCAUCUUAGUUUGGGGUGGGUGAGGCUACCUUUACAUGGGGUACUCGAGCCUGCCUUAGACAAGGAGGGUUAAGUCGUAACAAGGUA
This 325-nucleotide ribosomal RNA is filed under the name uncultured archaeon. RNAcentral's name for it is "bacterial SSU rRNA". It matches the Rfam family "Archaeal small subunit ribosomal RNA", at positions 1119 to 1445 of the family's 1478-position model. The record is from RNAcentral.